RNAcentral lists this transfer RNA (73 nucleotides) under Candidatus Woesearchaeota archaeon. RNAcentral's name for it is "tRNA-Thr". It matches the Rfam family "tRNA". Rfam says of the family: Transfer RNA (tRNA) molecules are approximately 80 nucleotides in length. The record is from RNAcentral. Lineage: Archaea; Nanobdellati; Candidatus Woesearchaeota.
GCCUCAGUAGCUUAACGGUUAGAGCACCUGACUUGUAAUCAGGAGGUUGGGAGUUCAAAUCUCCCCUGAGGCU